This is a long non-coding RNA of Magnolia sinica, 431 nucleotides long. RefSeq lists it as uncharacterized. NCBI's taxonomy places the organism in Eukaryota, Viridiplantae, Streptophyta, Magnoliopsida, Magnoliales, Magnoliaceae. The transcript is spliced from 3 exons. The record is from RefSeq and is a predicted model, not a curated record.
GUUGUCUGAAGCCUAUGUUCCUGAAACAUUUUAAAUCCAGCCAAAGCAGUCUGGACAAUAGCUGGGCCUGAUCAGCCCAGCCCACUUUCACCUGUAUACCUGGCUCUCCAGCAAGUUUGAUCUCUCGAUUGUUUCUACAAACACUCUUCAACUUCACAGCUAAGGAGGUGAUUGACAUUCUUUGUUAUUAGUUCAUGCAUCUGCAGACACCCAAUACAACUGUCACACAGAAAGUCAAAACCUUAUAAGUGGUAAGAAUUUCCUGAUGCUGAUGGAUUCUUGCUUGGAAGGCCACUUCUCAAAUGAUGAUGGAACUGAGUUGGUGCGAUCAGCUUCUCGUUGCUUGCAAUAUGAACCUCGUGAGAGGCCAAAUGCAAAGAUGCUUGUGACUGCCCUUACUUCUCUUAUCAUGCAACACUUUCACAGGUACU